AGUCACUGACAUUAGAUACCCGUGUAGUCCCAGCCGUAAACUAUGCGCGUUAGGUGUACUGGUGACCACGAGUCACCGGGGUGCCGAAGGGAAACCGUGAAACGUGCCGCCUGGGAAGUACGGUCGCAAGGCUGAAACUUAAAGGAAUUGGCGGGGGAGCACCGCAACGGGAGGAGCGUGCGGUUUAAUUGGAUUCAACACCGUAAACUCACCAGGGAAGACUGUUACAUGAAAGCCGAGAUGAAGACUCUGCUAGAUUUUCAG
RNAcentral lists this ribosomal RNA (264 nucleotides) under uncultured archaeon. RNAcentral's name for it is "partial 16S ribosomal RNA". It matches the Rfam family "Archaeal small subunit ribosomal RNA", at positions 717 to 982 of the family's 1478-position model. The record is from RNAcentral.